This 124-nucleotide non-coding RNA is filed under the name Polytomella parva. The record is from RNAcentral. Lineage: Eukaryota; Viridiplantae; Chlorophyta; Chlorophyceae; Chlamydomonadales; Chlamydomonadaceae.
UGAAAAGGAAAUUAAAAAUGAUCGAAAAUCUAGUCAUUUCUACGUAAAUCGAUCUCUUUUUUUUUCUUUUUUUUUAUAAAGCCGCAUUAUUCAUUUUUAUUGUUUACCAUCUUAAUUUGUUUUU